GAUAACAGCAUAAUAUUCUUUGGAGAGUUCUUAUUGAUAAAGAUGUUUGUGACCUCGAUGUUGAAUUAAGAUAAAAGUUAAGUGUAGAUAUUUAAUUUGGUAGUCUGUUCGACUAUUAAAAUCUUACAUGAUUUGAGUUCAGAUCGGCGUAAGCCAGAUC
The sequence is a ribosomal RNA, 160 nucleotides long. It matches the Rfam family "Bacterial large subunit ribosomal RNA", at positions 2473 to 2632 of the family's 2925-position model. The record is from Rfam.